RNAcentral lists this ribosomal RNA (253 nucleotides) under uncultured bacterium. Its description in RNAcentral is "partial 16S ribosomal RNA". It matches the Rfam family "Bacterial small subunit ribosomal RNA", at positions 524 to 776 of the family's 1533-position model. The record is from RNAcentral.
UACGAAGGGGGCUAGCGUUGCUCGGAAUCACUGGGCGUAAAGGGUGCGUAGGCGGGGCUUUAAGUCCGGGGUGAAAUCCUGGAGCUCAACUCCAGAACUGCCUUUGAUACUGAAGAUCUUGAGUUCGGGAGAGGUGAGUGGAACUGCGAGUGUAGAGGUGAAAUUCGUAGAUAUUCGCAAGAACACCAGUGGCGAAGGCGGCUCACUGGCCCGAUACUGACGCUGAGGCACGAAAGUGUGGGGAGCGAACAGG